Long non-coding RNA from Oncorhynchus tshawytscha (Chinook salmon), 2301 nucleotides. NCBI's taxonomy places the organism in Eukaryota, Metazoa, Chordata, Actinopteri, Salmoniformes, Salmonidae. The record is from Ensembl.
UUUUAACCUUCCUGAGUCUGAGGGUGCUAUUAACCUUCCUGAGUCAGGUUUUUUUUAACCUUCCUGAGUCUGAGGGUGCUUUUAACCUUCCUGAGUCUGAGGGUGCUUUUAACCUUCCUGAGUCUGAGGGUGCUUUUAACCUUCCUGAGUCUGAGGGUGGUUUUAAACUUCCAGACUUGGAAUUAUAUCAACUCUCUACCCAAGGCUUUUACUUGUGACAUAUAGUUAAAUGCACUCACGAGGAACAAUGGGUACAUAAUCAAAAUGCGCAUGCUCAUCCCCAGAAUCUUUUUACGUGUCUAUUUUCAAAGAUAAAGCUAAGAACGUGAACAACUUCAUAGUUAAAAACAGUAUAACAAUAUGGAAGAAGAUCAAACAUAUUUUACAAGAACCAAUGUCACUCCCUAAAAACACAACCAUUUGGAACAAGUCUUGGAUAGCUUUUCACGAUUCACUGAUAAAUUGGUCCACAUGGACAACUAAAGGCAUAGAAACCAUAAAUGACUUGGUAACAGGAAAUAAAUGUAUUUCCGUGACAGAAUUAAAAAGUCAUUUUGGACUGACCAAUGUAGAUACAGUAUUUUCAAAUUUUGCAACUUAAAAGUUUCAUAUCAUGAAAUGUUGCUUUUUAAGUCAUUUGGAUAUCAGAGAAACAUCGAGGGAAUCUUAUUUGAGUCAGAAAAGGCUGUUCAUGUGAUAGGUAAGAUAUAUAAAACUUUGCAGAGAGCAUAUCCAACUGACAACCUCUUAGAAAAAAAUAUUAACUAUUGGAACCAAGACUUAAAAAUAACUGAUGUUGGAGGGAAUGUUGGGACACAACUAACGAAGUUACAGUUGUCAAAAAGGUAGGCUUAAUCCAGUAUAAACUAAUGUAUAUAAUUUCUUAUACAAGAGACAUGAUUCACAAAUUCUACAGCACAAUGGCAGAAUCAUCUCUGACGUGUAAAACUAACAAUGACUCAAUAAUCCAUGAGUUCUGGGAACGUUAUAAAGUCCAAAAGUUAUGGGCAGAGUUAAACAGAUGGCUGUCAGAAGUAUUACAAUUUAAAUGGAAUUUUAAUUUGUUUGUCUGCACACCGCCCGGGCAUGCAUAAAUUCCUUGUUUUUGAAAGAAAAGCACAUUUUUUUGUCCAUUAAAAUAACAUCAAAUUGAUCAGAAAUACAGUGUAGACAUUGUUAAUGUUGUAAAUGACUAUUGUAGCCACCCCGCUGAUCCUCAACACUGGGGCUUCACAAGGGUGCGUGCUCAGCCCCUUCCUGUACUCCCUAUUCACCCACAACUGCGUGGCCAUCACGCCUCCAACUCAGUCAAGUUUGCAGACGACACUAGAGUGGUAGGCUUGAUUACCAACAACGACGAGACUGCCUACAGGAAGGAAGUGAGGGCCCUCGGAGUGUGGUGUCAGGAAAAUAACCUCGCACUCAACGUCAACAAAACAAAGGAGAUGAUCGUGGACUUCAGGAAACAGCAGAGGGAGCACCCCCCCAUCCACAUCGAUGGGACAGUAGUGGAGAAGGUGGAAAGUUUUAAGUUCCUCGGCGUAGACAUCACGGACAAACUGAAAUGGUCCACCCACACAGACAGCAUGGUGAAGAAGACGCAGCAGCGCCUCUUCAACCUCAGGAGGCUGAAGAAAUUUGGCUUGUCACCAAAAACACUCACAAACUUUUACAGCUGCACAAUCGAGAGCAUCCUGUCGGGCUGUAUCACCGCCUGGUACGGCAACUGCUCCGCCCACAACCGUAAGGCUCUCCAGAGGGUAGUGAGGUCUGCACAACGCAUCACCGGGGGCAAACUACCUGCCCUUCAGGAUACCUACGCCACCUGAUGUCACAGGAAGGCCAAAAAGAUCAUCAAGGACAACCACCACCCGAGCCACUGUCUGUUCACCCUGCUAGCAUCCAGAAGGCGAGGUCAGUACAGGUGCAUCAAAGCUGGGACCGAGAGACUGAAAAACAGCUUCUUUCUCAAGGCCAUCAGACUGUUAAACAGCCAUCACUAACAUUGAGUGGCUGCUGCCAACAUACUGACUCAAAUCUCUAGCCAUUUUAAUAAUUAAACAUUGGAUGUAAUAACUGUUUCACUAGUCACUUUAAACAAUGCCACUUUAUAUAAUGUUUACAUACCCUACAUUACUCAUCUCAUACUGUACUCUAUACCAUCUACUGCAUCUUGCCUAUGCCAUUCGGCCAUCACUCAUCCAUAUACAGUGGGGAGAACAAGUAUUUGAUUCACUGCUGAUUUUGCAGGUUAUCCUACUUACAAAGCAUGUAGAGGUCUGUAAUUUGUAUCAUAGGUAC